Long non-coding RNA from Melozone crissalis (California towhee), 159 nucleotides. RefSeq lists it as uncharacterized. The transcript is spliced from 3 exons. Lineage: Eukaryota; Metazoa; Chordata; Aves; Passeriformes; Passerellidae. The record is from RefSeq and is a predicted model, not a curated record.
CCGCGCUGGGCGCGCUGCUGGCGGCCGCGCUGGGCUGCUGGCGGCGGCGGCGGAGGAAGGACGAACCUCUCUAUGAAGUUGCUUUCCACAGAACUGCAGAUGUCGCCCUGCUGCAGCCUGAGGUGGAAGUCCCUGCUAAGUGCCAACAGGAGGAAACGU